This 301-nucleotide ribosomal RNA is filed under the name uncultured bacterium. Its description in RNAcentral is "partial 16S ribosomal RNA". It matches the Rfam family "Bacterial small subunit ribosomal RNA", at positions 509 to 807 of the family's 1533-position model. The record is from RNAcentral.
CAGCAGCCGCGGGAAUACGGAGGAUCCAAGCGUUAUCCGGAAUCAUUGGGUUUAAAGGGUCCGUAGGCGGUCUGGUAAGUCAGUGGUGAAAGCCCAUCGCUCAACGGUGGAACGGCCAUUGAUACUGCUGGACUUGAAUUAUUAGGAAGUAACUAGAAUAUGUAGUGUAGCGGUGAAAUGCUUAGAGAUUACAUGGAAUACCAAUUGCGAAGGCAGGUUACUACUAAUGGAUUGACGCUGAUGGACGAAAGCGUGGGUAGCGAACAGGAUUAGAUACCCCCGUAGUCCCUGUCUCUUAUAC